This 1137-nucleotide ribosomal RNA is filed under the name Enterococcus avium. RNAcentral describes it as "bacterial SSU rRNA". It matches the Rfam family "Bacterial small subunit ribosomal RNA", at positions 152 to 1252 of the family's 1533-position model. The record is from RNAcentral. Lineage: Bacteria; Bacillati; Bacillota; Bacilli; Lactobacillales; Enterococcaceae.
CAAGGCAGGUGCUAAUAUUGUAUAACAAUCGAAACCGCCGGUUUCGGUUUGAAAGGCGCUUUUGCGUCACUGAUGGAUGGACCCGCGGUGCAUUAGCUAGUUGGUGAGGUAACGGCUCACCAAGGCAACGAUGCAUAGCCUACCUGAGAGGGUGAUCGGCCACAUUGGGACUGAGACACGGCCCAAACUCCUACGGGAGGCAGCAGUAGGGAAUCUUCGGCAAUGGACGCAAGUCUGACCGAGCAACGCCGCGUGAGUGAAGAAGGUUUUCGGAUCGUAAAACUCUGUUGUUAGAGAAAAACAAGGAUGAGAGUAGAAUGUUCAUCCCUUGACGGUAUCUAACCAGAAAGCCACGGCUAACUACGUGCCAGCAGCCGCGGUAAUACGUAAGUGGCAAGCGUUGUCCGGAUUUAUUGGGCGUAAAGCGAGCGCAGGCGGUUUCUUAAGUCUGAUGUGAAAGCCCCCGGCUCAACCGGGGAGGGUCAUUGGAAACUGGGAAACUUGAGUGCAGAAGAGGAGAGUGGAAUUCCAUGUGUAGCGGUGAAAUGCGUAGAUAUAUGGAGGAACACCAGUGGCGAAGGCGGCUCUCUGGUCUGUAACUGACGCUGAGGCUCGAAAGCGUGGGGAGCAUACAGGAUUAGAUACCCUGGUAGUCCACGCCGUAAACGAUGAGUGCUAAAUGUUGGAGGGUUUCCGCCCUUCACUGCUGCAACUAACGCAUUAAGCACUCCGCCUGGGGAGUACGACCGCAAGGUUGAAACUCAAAGGAAUUGACGGGGGCCCGCACAAGCGGUGGAUCAUGUGGUUUAAUUCUAACAACGCGAAGAACCUUACCAGGUCUUGACAUCCUUUGACCACUCUAGAGAUAGAGCCUCCCCUUCGGGGCCAAGCUGACAAGGUGGUGCCAUGGAUUGUCGUCAGCCUCGUGUCGUGAAGAUGUUAGGGGUUAGGUCCACGCAUCGAGCCUCAACCCCUUAUUGGUUAAGAUUGUCAUCAUUUAAAUUUGGGCACCUCCUAACCGAGCACUGGCUCGGUUAACUAACGGCAGGAAAGGGUGGGGAUGACGUCAAAUCAUCAUGCUCCUUAUGACCUGGGCCGUACGCCAGUGCCUGCAUGGCGAAGUCCACCGAAUUGCCC